Non-coding RNA from Phalacrocorax carbo (great cormorant), 1721 nucleotides. NCBI's taxonomy places the organism in Eukaryota, Metazoa, Chordata, Aves, Suliformes, Phalacrocoracidae. The record is from RefSeq and is a predicted model, not a curated record.
UGGCUUCUGGGAGGGGAGGAAAAAUGAUUGCAUUUGUCGGAGGGAGGAAAAAUUUUUUUAAAAAAAAACCAAAAAACAAAUGAGGGGCUGGGAGGAAGCGAGCGGGGCGAUGUGGAGUGCGGCGGAUCUUGUUUGCAGCCGGGGAGGCGAUAACGCCGGGAAGCGGACCUCUAUCUCUGCCCACCCGCCGCCCUUCCUAGUACGUCCUACAAAGUUUCUAGGCGAGGGGAGAUGUUAUCUGUCCCCCACCAGCCCCGCCGGGGCCCAGCUUCUCAGAAGAGCUGCCCAAGGCUGAGGGCCGGCUGGUGUUGCAGCAGUGCCGGGCGUGCGCCCGCCCGCAGCCCAGCCGAAACCCCCGGCGGGGCCCCCGCGCACGGCCGUCUAUCAGUGCCGCCAGCCUGCCGAUGACUCAGCAUCCUCCGGCUGUGCUCCCGCUUCCUCCCGGCGCCCGGGAAUUGCUGCCACGGUCACCAGCACCUCCAGCACGCUCAGCAGGAUGCUCCCCCAAAAUGCAGAGGGAAGUGGGGCACCCGUGCGGAUGGCUCCUCAGGUGGGUGGGAGAUUCCUAGGACAAGGAAUUUGCCUUCCAAGUUCUCAGGCUUGCUCCGUGCUGGCUUCGGGAGAGGUUUGCAGCGCGGGAAAAGCUGGGCUUCGCCUGCGCCACGCGACGGAAAGCAGCCAAAGGCUGUGUCCAGCAGCAACAUGCUUUUCCCAGCCGGCGCAACGAUGGGAAAUACGACCCCGGUGCUUCAUCCUGCCAGCACCAGCACAAACCGUGACACCAUCCUCCCUGCUCCUGCCUCGCGCACUUCCCAUGUGGAAAUGGCUAUCCCGGAUGAAUCCAUGCUGGAGCUACUGCAGCAGCAUCCUGCUCCUCCACCUGGCCCUGGGUUUCAGCAGGGACAUGGCACAGGGAUGUGAGUGCCCACUGCCAGGUGGGCUUCCCCCUGCUCCAGCCCAUCGUGCUCCAUGAUGCUGGAACUGGGCAGCCAGUGGCUUUAAGGCAGACUUUACAUCCACGUCCCUUAUACUUCAUACAUUCCUACGAGGGGCUCCCGGCCAUCCUGCAGCCAGAGGAGCUGGCAGCACCAAGCAGCGCCAGGGCAAUGCCAGGAGCCAGUGCUGCCGCUCUGCCACCCGAUCCCGGAGGAUGAGAGGUUAGGAGGCAGUCGGCCAGCCUUGCCAUGGAGGGGCUGCAGGAUCCGGCCCACCAUGUUCCCACCGCAAAACAGCCACACCGGAGGCUGCACCUGCGCAGGGAGGGCACCCUCCAGCACCCAGCACUGCAAAUCCAGCCUCGAAAGCAAACCUUAUGGAGCAGAGACCGUGUGGCCGUGCCCAGUGCCGAGCAAGGUGUGCUCAUACAUGCAUGCGUACACAGGCGUCCCCGAAGCAUGUGCAGCGCAGCCAGCGCGCCACGAUCUGAAAAUGAAACCGGCCCCGACUCUACCGCUACUCUCCAUGCCAGGAAAAUGCACGCCAGCAACAUAAAUAGGAAAUCUGAUUUAUGUGCCGGCUCUCCCAGAAACAACUGUUCCCCAACCAGAGAAAAAGCGGACGGCAGCAUUUUCGGCUCCCUUUUAUAAGCACAACACUAUUCAAAAUUCACCCUGAGGACUAUUUUCAGGAGGGAGCAAAGCGAGGGGCUGGGAGACGCCCUCACCAGACCCACAGCUCCCGGCAUCCUGAGUGGCAGAAAUACAAAGUUCCCACAAUCCCAA